This 454-nucleotide ribosomal RNA is filed under the name uncultured Streptococcus sp. Its description in RNAcentral is "bacterial SSU rRNA". It matches the Rfam family "Bacterial small subunit ribosomal RNA", at positions 929 to 1382 of the family's 1533-position model. The record is from RNAcentral. Lineage: Bacteria; Bacillati; Bacillota; Bacilli; Lactobacillales; Streptococcaceae.
GCGGUGGAGCAUGUUGGUUUAAUUCGAAGCAACGCGAAGAACCUUACCAGGUCUUGACAUCCCGAUGCUAUUUCUAGAGAUAGAAAGUUACUUCGGUACACCGGUGACAGGUGGUGCAUGGUUGUCGUCAGCUCGUGUCGUGAGAUGUUGGGUUAAGUCCCGCAACGAGCGCAACCCCUAUUGUUAGUUGCCAUCAUUCAGUUUGGGCACUCUAGCGAGACUGCCGGUAAUAAACCGGAGGAAGUGGGGAUGACGUCAAAUCAUCAUGCCCCUUAUGACCUGGGCUACACACGUGCUACAGUGGUUGGUACAACGAGUUGCGAGUCGGUGACGGCGAGCUAAUCUCUUAAAGCCAAUCUCAGUUCGGAUUGUAGGCUGCAACUCGCCUACAUGAAGUCGGAAUCGCUAGUAAUCGCGGAUCAGCACGCCGCGGUCGAAUACGUUCCCGGGCCUU